This 469-nucleotide ribosomal RNA is filed under the name uncultured bacterium. RNAcentral's name for it is "partial 16S ribosomal RNA". It matches the Rfam family "Bacterial small subunit ribosomal RNA", at positions 28 to 507 of the family's 1533-position model. The record is from RNAcentral.
GAUGAACGCUGGCGGCGCGCCUAACACAUGCAAGCCGAACGGUUAAAGCACCUUUUAGGUGUGUAUAAAGUGGCGAACGGCUGAGUAACACGUGGGCAACCUGCCCUCCUCUUGGGGAUAGCCUCGGGAAACCGAGGAUAAUACCCGAUACUUCAAUGUGGCCGCAUGACGACAUUGAGAAAGCUUUUGCGGAGAAGGAUGGGCCCGCGGCCUGUUAGCUUGUUGGUGGGGUAGAGGCCUACCAAGGCAAUGAUGGGUAGCUGGGUUGAGAGACCGACCAGCCAGAUUGGGACUGAGACACGGCCCAGACUCCUACGGGAGGCAGCAGUGGGGAAUCUUGCACAAUGGGCGAAAGCCUGAUGCAGCGACGCCGCGUGCGGGACGAAGGCCUUCGGGUUGUAAACCGCUUUCAGCAGGGACGAGGCGAUAAGUGACGGUACCUGCAGAAGAAGCCCCGGCUAACUACGUG